AGUGGUGGAUCCUCCCACUGGGUGUGUUUCAGCACAUAAAAAGACAAAGUGUAAGACGAUCACAACUUUGUUUAGGAUCAACUUUCAGCAGCACACAACGUCAGUCUUCCUGACUCACACAACAACAACAACAUGGUCAACGUCAGAGUUGAAUACUGUGGUGCCUGAGGGUACAGGUCCAGGUAUGAAACCCUGGCAAGGUAUCUUCAGCUGAAGAUUCCUGGCGUGCAGGUUUCUGGCAACGUUGGGAGGAGAGGAAGCUUUGAGGUGAUGGCGGACGACUGCUUAAUUCACUCCAAACUCCAGACUGGAUCUUUCCCGCCUGAAGACAAGAUUGCAUCGAAAGUGCAGAAGCUGGCUAAACACGGAAUGUAAACGCUGGCUACUGGAGAACCAGAGCGUGAUGGGAUCCGAGUCCAGGAGGCCGGACGCCGACUUCCUUCUUUGAAUGACUGUGCACGCUGAAAAGCAGAAAAAGGCGUGCACACGAUGUACACGUGUAGAAGGUUUUUAGCUGAUCCGGGGUCAGUGGAAUUGUUCUCAUCAUGACAGUCUGGUAUACUAAAACUCACAAGCAGUGGCAGGAAAAAAAAGACUAAUUUUGGUUCCAAACAUGUAACAAACAAUUGGUUACCAUUUUUUCAUACCUUUUUAGUACGAAACUAAAAAAAAUAGCUAAGUGUGCUAUUUGCACAAUUAAUAUUUAAUAACUAUUGAAACAUUUUCCUGCAACUUCAAUAAACUGCUGCAUAAACUACAGCUUUGCAGAUUUUCUUUGUAGUCUUCCCAGCAGGCACCAGACAUUAAAACAACGUUGAGGCCUUGUUGAAUUAGGCCCUGACGUCGAGCAACUCAAACAUAACGUUGAAACAACAUGCUUUUUGACAACGUUUAAUCAACGUUGGGUUCUGAUGUUGAUUAGACCUUUGAAAUUUGCUCAUUUCCCAACCAACAAUGUGGAUCCAACUUUGGACAUCAACAUUGCCUCAAUUUACCAAUCCAACUAUUUUGCAACAUCGUUCAAAAGUCCGUUUUAAAGGACAUGUAUGUCUAAUCAAGGUUGUAUCAAUGUCUUGUGCCGGUUGGGUUACUACGGUACUAAUGGGGUGGCGUAGCUCGGUUGGUAGAGUGGCCGUGCCAGCAACUCGAGGGUUCCAGGUUCGAUUCCCGCUUCCGCCAUCCUAGUCACUGCUGUUCUGUCCUUGGGCAAGACACUUUACCCACCUGCUCCCUGUGCCACCCACACUGGUUUAAAUGUAACUUAGAUAUUGGGGUUCACUAUGUAAAAGCGCUUUGAGUCACUAGAGAAAAGCGCUACUUAAAUAUAAAUCAAUAAAUAAUUCAAUAAUUGGCUUUUUGAAGUAGUGACAAAAUAAAAAAAAUCUUCACUUCAUUUCAGUAUAGCUGAAAAAGUAAAAGAAGCUAUAAAAAAUUCAGCAAAACGUAAAGAAAUAUUUACACAAAAUAAAUCAAAAGUUUUAAAGCACAGAUUUGCUGCAGUUAAAUGCUAACAACAAUGGUGGUGAUGGUAAAAACUUCAAUACAAAGUAACAGGUAUGUUCACCUUUUUAUUACAAAACAGUGACAAAUAAAUAGAACAAAAUCUGUGUUGGGGGGAGGUGUUGCCAUAGCAACCAUUUGUUCAACAAUCCGACCACCGAUUGGUCCCUGGUUCAAACAUUGGGGAAAAAAGAAAUAAAGAAGGUACAUUUCACAACAAAUAGCACCGUGGUGGGGUUGUCAGGCCACCGCCAGCUGUGCUGACCGGCCGAUAAAAACACACAAAUACAAAACACACACACGCACGACAAAGCAUUUAAGUCAACUCCAAGAAAAUAAGAAAAAAAAAGUGUUCCAGCGCUUAGUUUUCUUUGUUAUAAAUAUAAUAUAUUAAUUUGGACAAAUGUAAUCCAUGACCUUUGUGCUAAACACUUAUUUGAAACCCGAGUAAAAUGUAUGUAAAUACUGUGUGUAUUAUUACAAUAUUUACUGUAUUUUCAGGACUGUAAGCCGCUACUUUUUUCCAACGCUUUGCACCCUGCGGCUUAUAAAACGAUGUGGCUAAUUUAUAGAUUUGUCUUUGCUAACGGCCAUGAUGUUUUGUUUUCAACAAAUAGUUCUCAACACUAACAGAGACACUGAAAAGGUGUGUUACUCUUUGUGCUAUGGCGCCAUCUUUUGGACGAGUUGGCUCACUGCGGGUGCUGCGGGUUGAAAAUGUACUUCCUGUUUCGUGCCUUGAACCAGAACUAUAACUGUCCAUAGCAUAUCUGCUCGAAAAGGAUUCUUCAUUCAUCACUCCAGGCAACGGUUGUAAGUUUUACAAUAUAACUAAAACAAUUCAUACUUACUAGGUUGUCCCAUGUGUGAUGUCUGUAGCAGUGUUUUCAUGCAUAUUUGUGUGUGCGAUCGUAAUGUAGUCAAACUAGUGUGUUCAGCAUGAGCCAAUAUGCUAACACGUUUACAAGUGUCUGUGUUAGUAUUAUUAACUUUUGAUAUUGUUUCAGUUUCAUAAAUUCCCUAAACCUCACAGUGCAGUUGUUGAGUGUGUUUAACUGGUUGGAGAGUGAGCUUUCGCAGCUAGUGGGUCCAUGACCAUGACUUCUGUUUUGUUUGAUCAGCCGUUUAACUGUUGUGUGACAGGCACCAGUUGAAAACAAUUAAGGUAUGUAAAUAAACAUUUACAAAAUAUUCCGUACCAGGAUAUAUCUGCGGCUUGUAGGCUGGAACAACUAAUAUAUGUAAAAAUGUUUAUUUCUUUUAAAAUUUGGUGGGUGCGGCUUAAAUACCAGUGCGCUCUAUUGCACGGAAAAUACGCUAAGAGAGUAAAACCCAAGAAAGAUGUAUGUAAUUGACAUACUAUUCAUCUUAUUUGCAGGCUAAAUGUAGUGUCUUUUUUAAUCCAGCAGACGGCCAUUAUGAACCAUCAACACACUCAUAAGUGCCGUGUCAAUACAAUCAGUGAGUGUGCCAUACGCUCACUGAGACGUCAUUUGCCCAUCACUACCUAAUGUCUGAUGUUAUUUUUCAUGAUCAUCAAUAUUCAAGAACUCUGAAGUACUAGAGACGUCUAUAGUACUGAUUAAAGGGAGUUUAAGUUUGGUGAAACAAAGGUGGAAGAGGAAGCUGCAGGGAGUGGUGGAUCCUCCCACUGGGUGUGUUUCAGCACAUAAAAAGGCAAAAUGUAAGACGAUCACAACUUUGUUUAGGAUCAACUUUCAGCAGCACACAACGUCAGUCUUCCUGACUCACACAACAACAACAACAACAACAACAACAUGGUCAACAUCAGAGUUGAAUACUGUGGUGCCUGAGGGUACGGGUCCAAGUAUGAAGCCUUGGCAAAGGAACUUCAGCAGAAGAUUCCUGGCGUGCAGGUUUCUGGCAAAGUUGGGAGGAGAGGCAGCUUUGAAGUGAUGGUGGACAACAUGCUGGUUUACUCCAAACUCGCCACUGGAGAGUUCCCCACUGCCAGCGAGAUUGUAGUCCAAAUGCGGACGUUGGCUGGAUGCAGAAUGUAAACGCUGGCUACUGGAGAACCAGAGCGUGAUGGGAGCGAGUCCAGGAGGCCGGAUGCCGACUUCCUUCUUUGAAUGACUGUGCACGCUGAAAAGCACAAAAGGCGUGCACACGAUGUACACGUUUAGAAGGUUUUUAGCUGAUCCGGCAUCAGUGGAAGUGUUCUCAUCGUGACAGUCUGGUGUACUAAAACUAACAAGCGGUGGCGGGAAAAAAUACUAACUUUAGUUCCAAACAUGUAGCAAACAAUUGGUUACCAUUUUUAUCCCUUUUUUAAUCUAAAAAUGUGUUAUUUGCACAAUCAAUAUUUAAUAAUCCGCUUGUUGAGACAUCUUCAUGCAACAGGAUUUCUGCAGCAAAUUUAAUUGAAUGCAUUUUAAUGCAUGGUAAAGUAAAUGUAACGGCCAUAUCCUACUGCACAUUGUUAUUAUAUAUUAUCAAAAGCUUACAAUUGUCUGUUUGAACAAAAUUGUAACCAUUUCACAAAGAUGAUGAAUUGUUUAUAUUAACUAGCCAAAUUAGAUAGAUAGAUGGAUAGUACUUUAUUGAUUCCUUCAGGAAACUUCCCUCAGGAAAAUUGAAAUUCCAGCAGCAGUGUACAGAAUUGAGAUCUAAUUUGAAAAGUAAAUAAUGGGGGUAUGAAUGAAAAUAAAAUAGAAAACAUUACAAGAAUAAAAAUAAAAAGCGACAAUAAUAAUACAAAUAUAACAGUAAAAAUAGGAAUAUAACAAGAGAAACUAGGCAGUAGUGACCAAGUUAUGAAAAUGUAUUGCACUGUUAAUUGCACUGUUUUUUGUUGCCACAAUUAAAUUAAGCGGUAAUGUAAUCAUAAUACAUAAUACCAAUGCAAGUAAACCUUUCAAACAUAAUCAGCAUAUUUUUUAACUACUGCAGUAUUUUUACUAUUCUAAUUGUAAGGUAAAUAACGUCAUUAUCCUGAAUACAGUAGAUAAACAAUAUGUACGAACAAAUAAAAAUGGACUCCCAAUCUCUGUUAACAAAAAGUACAGUUUUUUUCUUCCCUCAUUUGGAAAAACUGCAUCAGGUGCUUUGUUUUGUCUUUUUUGUUGCCAUCCCGGUGUCCUGAAAAAAAAAGUGCUGCUUCAUAAAAAGAAAUGCAAGCAGUUACAUAAUGAGUAAUGGACGAAUUUGGUUGAAAUUUUAAGAACAUGUCCGAAAUAGGUCAUGGAAAAAAUGCUUAUGAAUUUUUUGAUUCAUAGAUGAGCUUGUUAAAAAUACUUUUGACAUUCAUUCUGUCAUCAUACAGCAUAUGAUGCAUUUUAGUUUACCAAGGUUCAUACCCUUUUUGUUUUGGUUUGUUUCCUGGUGUGUAAAAAAAAAAAAUGCUAAAAACACCCACAAUAUACCAAGGAGUUAUUUUUACCUUCAUGCGUGCGCAUGCCCAGUAGCGUUGGGUAGCACAUUUUCUCUAACCUGACUCUCGCCAGAUCCUUGUAGUUCGCUGAGCUCCACACAAGGAUCUGGGACUUCUCAACAGGAGAUGUAUUUCAGAAGGCGGGGCUUUGUAAAAAAAAAAAAAUCAUUGUAUGUGAUUGGAUAAACCACUUGUCUGUUAUCUUGAAUGACGUGCUACUUCAACCACUCACAUCGAAAUCAACCCGUGACGCUGAUUUAAAAAAAAAAAGAAGUAUUUAUUGAUUUAAACUUUUAUUAGUAGAUUGCACAGUACGGUACAUAUUCCUUACAAUUUACCACUAAAUGGUAACACCCGAGUAAGUUUUUCAGCUUGUUUAAGUCGGGGUCCACGUUAAUCAAUUCAAGGUAGCUCAUGGAGCUCAGCGAACUACAGGGAUCUGGCAAAAGUCAGGUUACAAAGUGUCAGCACACCGGCAGUGGUUGGUCCGUGCUGAUGGCUCCUGUUGCUUUCUGUUUGAAGAUGAAACAUUUGGCUGUUUAAACUUUUUUACUCCCAACUUUCGUGAAUUAGCUGAGCUUCUCACUUGUGAGUCUCGACUAGUUAGCUAGCGGUCCCAUCCAUCCAUCCAUUUUCUACCGCUUAUUCCCUUUGAGGUCGCUGGAGCCUAUCUCAGCUAAAAUCGGGCGGAAGGCGGGGUACACCCUGGACAAGUCACCACCUCAUCGCAGGGCCAACACAGAAAGACACUUAAGACAGACAACAUUCACUCACAUUCACACACUAGGGCCAAUUUAGUGUCCCGCCUGCUCAUAUCGAAAAGAGAUGGUGAAUGACUGACAGGAAGCUCCACUCUGCUCAUUUACCGCUGCUGCCAAAUAAUCACGGCAGGUGGUGAAUGCGAUGCAGAGUGAGACUUCUUGUCUCCAGUUUGAAAGCCACAGAAAAGAAACAUUUAUCCAUGACGGCAGUUACCAAAUUCAUUUAAUUGAAUGACUAUCGGCCCAGGCCUAAUUGUGUGACAUUUUAAACAGUUACAACAAUGUCAUGUUUUUGCCAUUCAAGCCCUUAAUUUGUGUGCAAAAUCCAUUUAAAGCAUUUUAAUGACCCGCGGGAACCCUUAAACUACUUUGGCUUUGCAGUUGUAUUGCAGUACUAAUUGGCUUUUUGAAGCAGUGUAUUUACCGUAUUUUUCAGACUAUAAGUCGCAGUUUUUUCAUAGUUUGGCCGGGGGUGCGACUUAUACUCGAGCGACUUGUGUGAAAUUGUUAACACAUUACCGUAAAAUAUCAAAUAAUAUUUAGCUCAUUCACGCAAGAGACUAGACGUAUAAGAUUUCAUGGGUUUUAGCGAUUAGGAGUGACAGAUUGUUUGGUAAACGUAUAGCAUGUUCUAUAUGUUAGUCAUUUGAAUGACUCUUACCAUAAUGUUACGUUAAAAUACCAGGCACGUUCUCAGUUGGUUAUUUAUGCCUCAUAUAACGUACACUUAUUCAGCCUGUUGUUCACUAUUCUUUAUUUUAAAUUGCCUUUCAAAUGUCUAUUCUUGGUGUUGGGUUUUAUCAAAUACAUUUCCCCAAAAAAUGCGACUUAUAUUCCAGUGCGACUUAUGUUUUUUUUCCUUCUUUAUUAUGCAUUUUUGGCCGGAGCGACUUAUAGUUCGAAAAAUAUGGUACAUCAUUUCAGUAUUGCUGAAAAUACAAAAUACAAAUUAAACAGAUAUUAGAAAUAUUUACACAAAAUUAAUCAAAAGUUUUAAACCACAGAUUUGCUGCAGUUAAAUGCUAACAACAAUGGUGGUGAUGGUAAAAACUUCAAUACAAAGUAACAGGUAUGUUCACCUUUUUAUUACAAAACAGUGACAAAUAAAUAGAACAAAAAUGUAAAAAUAUAACAAGAUCUGUGUUGGGGGGGAGGUGUUGCCACAGCAACCAUUUGUUCAACAAUCCAACAACUGAUUGGUCCCUGGUUUAACAUUGGAAAAAAAGAAAUAAAGAAGGUACAUUUCACAACAAAUAGCACCGUGGUGUGGUUGUCAGGCCACCGCCAGCUCUGCUGACUGGCCGAUAAAAACACACAAAUACAAAACACACACACGCAUGACAAAGGAAAACAAGAAAAAAGGGGGCCCAGCGCUUAGUUUCCUUUGUUAUAAAUAUAAUAUAUUAAUUUAUACAUUGUAGAACACAACUGGAGUUCAAGACGUGAAGCUACGGCUAAAAAAAAGGCAGCUCAAGUUUAAAAGCAAACAAAAAGCUGGAGGAGGCUUCACUACUCAAAGUGUUGACACGCGGCGUCGCUCCAACACGUGUGAAGGCAUUGGGAUCGCUUGUACAAUCGAAUGGAGCAAGAGACUAGCGUGUGUGUGUGUGUGUGUGUGUGUGUGUAUGUGUGUGUGUGUGCGCCUGGAAACAUUCGGCCCAUUCAAGAAGGAACAGCUCGAUUCUGCAGCAUGUUGUUGAUAAAGAAAAGUGUGUAGCUAGCGAACUAACAGGAAGGUGAGGCCCGCCAGGCCCACACCAGCUGCAGCAAACAACGCCGUCUUCAUGGACAAAUCCUGACUGGCAUCUCGGCUGCUGCAGAACUUGCAGAAACCCUCCUGCAACACCAAGCCCAAUUAGUCAGCAUGAAGUCCAUAAACAAUACAUUUAUGAAGUUCCACAUGAUUAGCAUCACAUUAACACAAGUAGUGAAAAGGCCACGAGCUGAUUGCAGUACUGACAGUCACCACCAGGGGGCGCAUCUUAUUAGUUUGUGGACAACUUCUCAAUGCUGCAGUGUGUGAUUUAAAGUAACACACACACACACACGCACACACACGCACGCACACACGGUGUGGUGAAAUUGCCCUCUGCAAUUGACCCAUCCCCUUGUUCCACUUUACUAUCCUGGAAAAUAAUUUUUUGAACGUUUGCUCAUCCAUAUUGAUGAUUACAUAUGACGUGGCGAUAGUGAGUACACAGCCAAUAUAUGGCAGACAAAAUGUCACAAUACUACAAGUGGGAAAAGAGCAUUUAUGUCUGACUGUGUACUACCCCCACUGAAAUAAAGACGUUUCAAUUGCAUAAAUUAUUAUUAACCUUCCAAUAAAGAAACAAUCAUUCAAUUAUGAAAAUAUUUACCACUGGUAUUAAAUAUAAAUAACAUAUAAAAAACAAAUAUAAUGUACAUGCCAAAAUAGUGAAUGGUGUAACAGACAGUCAAUGUGUGGGGGUUACUUUCUUUUUCUGUGCACUAAAUACAUAUUCAAAAUGGCGAUUGGGAACAUUUUAGGCUGAAAAUGACACAUUUGGCCAUUUUCACACUAAAGUUUUUGCCUGACGAAAAUUGGGCACUUUU
Molecule: long non-coding RNA, 8232 nt
Organism: Entelurus aequoreus (snake pipefish)
Lineage: Eukaryota; Metazoa; Chordata; Actinopteri; Syngnathiformes; Syngnathidae
Exons: 9
Source: RefSeq, a predicted model, not a curated record